UACGUAGGGUCCGAGCGUUGUCCGGAAUUAUUGGGCGUAAAGAGCUCGUAGGCGGUCUGUUGCGUCCGCUGUGAAAACUCGGGGCUUAACCCCGAGCCUGCAGUGGAUACGGGGCAGACUAGAGGUAGGUAGGGGAGAAUGGAAUUCCCGGUGUAGCGGUGAAAUGCGUAGAUAUCGAGAGGAACACCUGCGGCGAAGGCGGGUUGCUGGGCUGAUACUGACGCUGAGGCGCGAAAAGCUAGGGGGAGCGAACAGGG
Molecule: ribosomal RNA, 257 nt
Filed under: uncultured bacterium
Lineage: Bacteria
Description: partial 16S ribosomal RNA
Rfam family: Bacterial small subunit ribosomal RNA
Source: RNAcentral